AACAAGAAAAUGAACAAGCAAUCUAAACAUAUUGUUUACUUCAUACUGCUGCAACAACCACAACAGUAAUAAUCUGAAUAAUAAUAACUAUUAUGAUUAUAAUAACUAUAAUAAUUAUUAUUAUUAUUUUGUUUUGUUUCCACCUCAUGUGUUUUUCAUUGUCACCGGGUAGAUGUCGUGGUGUUGCCAUGGAGCCUCUGGGGGUCAAAUGUUGACAUCACUUUUUUUUCUUCUUCUUCUUCCUCUCAUCACUUUUCUAGCUACUAAAAGUAAACAAAUGGAUGCUGCAGCACUCUGCUGUAAAAACAUGAAAAAUGUGACUAAACAGCGGGAAUUACAGCGACGAAAAUGCCCGGACAGAAGAAAAAAUACAACGUGCGGUUCCCUCCGGGUCGCAUCAAAAAAAUCAUGCAGAAGGACACAGAAGUUGGGAGGAUAGCGACGGCAGUUCCGGUGAUCAUCGCCCGGGCUUUGGAGAUGUUCCUGAAGUCUCUGCUGACCAAAACCUGUUUGAUUACUCAGGCGAAGUUCAACAACAUCGUGUCUGUGGCUCACAUGAAGCAGUGCAUAGAGUCAGAAAAAUUGUUUCAUUUUCUCAAAGACCUGGCAGAGGGAGCCACGUCUACAGCAACCCAGAAGGACAACCGAGGCAUGAGUAUUUGGCCUCCCUUACACGGUUUAUUGUCUUUUAAGGAACAAAAAGAGCAACAUCGCCGCUAAAAACCCAUCUGGAGCAGGAGAGGCUGUUCCCCAAUGGAGCCACGGCCCACACGAAACCGACUCAGGCUCAAGUGAGUCGGAGCUCUACAUUUGCUUGUAACGUGGACUUCCCAGCAGCACAUCAUUCCUGUUCACAUGUCAUUAGGCUUUGCAAAAAAAAAAAAAACCCUAGACAAAAACACUCUGUUCACUACUGGGACACAAUAGCCUACAUAAAUAUGGCUGUUUUUGGACAGCAAGAGGGAAGAAAAGGGAUUUACACAGCAGUUUGAAUCUGUACCAACAUGCAAAGCUUUGGUAAAGAACAGAACGUCCAUGCAGGACGGAUUUCUGCUACAGGGGUUUUUCUUUUUUUUUGUUUUUGUCCAUAGAUUUGAAUACUUAACAGCCUGCACUGUUAAAUGUAAGUUUUCUGUUAGGUUUUUCUUUCAUCUUUAGCUUGUCUGCAGAUUUGAGGUUAGCGUCACGAACUGUUUAACCCCUGUAGCCCUCAAAUGAUUGAUUUUUCACUUUGUUUUGCCGUCUUUGUUGAUUACAAGUGCUUCUUUUUUAAUAGCAGCCAUCGUGGUUUCUAUUUUUAAAGCACUUGUAAAUAUAUCUAUAUAUAUAUAUGUUGUUUUUUUUUAAUGAAAUGUGUAAAUAACUCAAGGCAGGAGGUAAAUAAAACUAAGCAAGAGCUUA
This is an RNA transcript of Xiphophorus hellerii (green swordtail), 1401 nucleotides long. It is a transcript of the gene named dr1-associated corepressor, with no coding region annotated. The transcript has 6 exons. NCBI's taxonomy places the organism in Eukaryota, Metazoa, Chordata, Actinopteri, Cyprinodontiformes, Poeciliidae. The record is from RefSeq and is a predicted model, not a curated record.